Molecule: long non-coding RNA, 226 nt
Filed under: Elaeis guineensis (African oil palm)
Lineage: Eukaryota; Viridiplantae; Streptophyta; Magnoliopsida; Arecales; Arecaceae
Description: long non-coding RNA (EGUI_LNC010867)
Source: RNAcentral
GGGUCACGUACAUAUACAAAUCGGACAUGGUUUACUUUUGUUUGGGCCUAGGUUGGCGGUGGAUCGGUUUGAUCAGUUACGUGUUGGGCAUGGGUUCAGAAAACGGGUUGGUUAGGCUUAGGUUAGAGAUAAAGUCCAUCAGGGGGAAACUAUUAGAUCAAGUUGAAGAACAAGGAUGCCUCUGGAGUGUAUAAAAUAUCCCUAAACUCGACUUCUUUUCCCGAGA